GGCAUGGGCCACUGUGCCCAGUUGGAAGUGCUUAUUUGAAGAAUUUCCCAUACUGUUGGUUUUGUAGAAAUGUGUUACUUUUUGUAAAGAGCAAAUGAUUGGUUCCUCCCCUGGAGUGGGGGAAUGAGGAGAAAUAGAAUUAAUUCAAUAUUUCAGUUAUUUAAUGUUCUAGCACAUUUAUUUUAUAAUGCAAUACUUCCUUGGGAAUAGGAAGUAAUACUGUAUAAGACAAGACACUAACUUAUUAUGCAGAAGGGGAAAAAAAAGAUAUUAUUACCAAAAACAGAUGUGAAGGUUUAUGGUUGGCCAUAAGGCCUGGGAAAUUAAGAACUGUUCAGUUAGGGAGAACUCAUUUCAUAAGAGUAGAGGCUUCACUCUUAAGUAGGGGGAAAGGCAGAAUUUUGUGGUAACCAUGUACAGAGUGCUUUGUACUUCCAAUUUCAGAAUGAAGUUUACAGCCCAUUCCUAUGUUAUAUGUUACUGCCUCUAGUCAGUGUCUAUUGUAUUUAUUACUGCAGGGCCGCCUUUUUGCCUAUCCUGACACUCACCGCCAUCGCCUGGGACCCAAUUAUCUUCAUAUACCUGUGAACUGUCCCUACCGUGCUCGAGUGGCCAACUACCAGCGUGACGGCCCCAUGUGCAUGCAGGACAAUCAGGGUGGUGCUCCAAAUUACUACCCCAACAGCUUUGGUGCUCCAGAACAACAGCCUUCUGCCCUGGAGCAUAGCACCCAAUGUUCUGGAGAAGUGCAG
Molecule: small RNA, 752 nt
Filed under: Pongo abelii (Sumatran orangutan)
Lineage: Eukaryota; Metazoa; Chordata; Mammalia; Primates; Hominidae
Description: processed transcript
Source: RNAcentral